UGCCAGCCGCCGCGGUAAUACAGAGGUCUCAAGCGUUGUUCGGAAUUACUGGGCGUAAAGCGUGCGUAGGCGGCGAGGUAAGUCAGAUGUGAAAUCCCGGGGCUCAACCCCGGAACUGCAUCCGAUACUGCCUCGCUAGAGGACUGGAGGGGAGUCUGGAAUUCACGGUGUAGCAGUGAAAUGCGUAGAUAUCGUGAGGAACACUAGUGGCGAAGGCGAGACUCUGGACAGAUCCUGACGCUCAGGCACGAAGGCUAGGGUAGCGAACGGGAUUAGAUA
This 279-nucleotide ribosomal RNA is filed under the name uncultured bacterium. RNAcentral's name for it is "partial 16S ribosomal RNA". It matches the Rfam family "Bacterial small subunit ribosomal RNA", at positions 506 to 784 of the family's 1533-position model. The record is from RNAcentral.